UUUUUUUUUUUUUUUUUCUUCUAAAUUAUCAAAAAUUUUCUUAUAAAUAUUUAAUUAUUUAUUUUUUUAUUUUUUAAAAAUUUAUAUUUAGCACCCUCAAUAUUAUAUUUAGCACCCUCACUAUUAGGGCUCUUCACUACUCCGUCAAUUUUUAUGAUUUAUAGGGUAAACUUCAAAUACCAUUUAUGUGGUUUCACACUUUCUUAUUUUAUUAUCCUGUGAUUUAAAGUGUAUCAAUUUAGUACCUUAUGGUUUCAUUUUUGUCUUUUUGUCAGCUCCUCUGUUAACAUUUCAUUAAAUUAUAUACAAAAAACUUCAGAUACCACAUCUAAGUUUAUCGAAUAUUUACUUUAAUAUCUUUUAGUUUUAACUUUGUCAUUAAUUUAACUAAAAAAAAAAUAGACGAAAAGAGAAAAAUGAAACCUAACGUACUAAAUUGAUACACUUUAAACCACAACGUACUAAAGCAGGGACGGAGCUAUGUUGGGGCUGAGGGGGGCCAUGGUCCUCCCCAUAUUUUCAUAAUUCGCAUAAUAGUUCUUUUUAUAUAAAAAAUUUUAAAAAUAUUUUUUAUUUAAUUUUAAAAGUAUGAUGAGUAACUUGUAUUUUUUAAAAAAUUGGUGCUAAUAUAAUGCUCUCUCAACUCUGAGUUUAUUUAUUUAUUUUUUAUUUAGUACUUUCAUAACUUUUAAAAUUAAAUAAAAAAUAUUUUUAUUUAUUUCUUUAAUUAAUUUUAGAUAAUGCUACUAAAAAUUUUAACAUUUUUUUUAAAAAAGGGAGAGAGAAUAUAUGUUAGACAGAGAAAGUAUAAUUAAAGAAAUAGAAAGAGAAAUAGAGUUGAGAUAGAGGGAGUGAGAGAAUUGAGAUUUUAGGAAAAAUGAGGUUAGAGUGUAAAAAAAAAUAAUACCAACUAGCCGGCGGAUAGGAAGAAAGAAAGAGAUUAGAUAUAUUAUGAUUAUCCCAAUCCAUUAAUAUGAGGAUACCUCCAGCCUCCCUCAAGGGAAUGAAAUUAAUACUUUGGGAUAAAUCUCAUUCCUAAGUAAAUCUAAUAUUACCAACUAGAUUACUUAGUGCGUUUAGCCAAACACUGUCAUAUUUUGUUAUUUCUAUUGAAUUACUAAAAAUCUUAAAAAGAUAAUGCGAACCAAACGCACCUAAAGGUUAUAUUAAAGUUAAUAGUUCUAUCAACUAAUAGUCAUUUAUUGUCACAAUUAUAUUUAGUAAAAAUUAAUAAAUUAAAUCAUUCACUGAAUUACUAUUAGAUUUAGUAAAUUUCAAAGUUAUUUGAGUGAAAUAAUAUAAAUAAAAUAAUUAGAAGUUAAGUAAGUAUAAAUAAAAAAGGGGUAAU
RNAcentral lists this long non-coding RNA (1348 nucleotides) under Ananas comosus (pineapple). RNAcentral's name for it is "long non-coding RNA (ACOM_LNC016040)". Lineage: Eukaryota; Viridiplantae; Streptophyta; Magnoliopsida; Poales; Bromeliaceae. The record is from RNAcentral.